RNAcentral lists this ribosomal RNA (253 nucleotides) under [Clostridium] colinum. RNAcentral describes it as "partial 16S ribosomal RNA". It matches the Rfam family "Bacterial small subunit ribosomal RNA", at positions 524 to 776 of the family's 1533-position model. RNAcentral also lists the same sequence under 2 other names. Lineage: Bacteria; Bacillati; Bacillota; Clostridia; Lachnospirales; Lachnospiraceae. The record is from RNAcentral.
UACGUAUGGUGCAAGCGUUAUCCGGAUUUACUGGGUGUAAAGGGUGAGUAGGCGGUCAUGCAAGUCAUAUGUGAAAUGUCAGGGCUUAACCUUGGCGCUGCAUAAGAAACUGUAUGACUAGAGUGCAGGAGAGGUAAGCGGAAUUCCUAGUGUAGCGGUGAAAUGCGUAGAUAUUAGGAAGAACACCGGUGGCGAAGGCGGCUUACUGGACUGUUACUGACGCUGAGUCACGAAAGCGUGGGGAGCAAACAGG